GUGCUCUGAUAAGAGUCACGAAGAAGAAGCAUCGGGCUGUGAUUGGCUGGUAUUAUUAUAAAAUGAGGAAACUGAUACUUUCAAACUAGACUGGCGUUUCAACGCUUGUGUUGUUUUUAUGGAUUUUGGCAUUUCGUCCGAAAUCACGGUGGUUUAAAGUUUAUGAUUUUGAACUAAAACUAAAGAUCGCCUGUUAAAAUACAUCCUGAAACAUAAAAUAGACGUGUCUUCUCCAAGAGAGCCUGCUUUGAGACUGUGAGAGAACUUUGAAGAAAAUGUGCUUAAAGCCUCUCUAGUAUUGUUUUUUUUUUUUUUUAGAAGAGGAAAGUCCUGUUUCAGUCUUCCUCAAAGCAAAACAAAGGAGUCGCUCUCUCAUGGCUAAUACCACAACCUCAUACAUCACAGUGGAUCCACAUGCUGAUGAAUGCCGUGAAAAUGUUCCACCUAGAGAUCCUAAAGCUGAUGACUCUUCAAAGCUAGAAAACACUGAGAAUUUCACCUUACAGUUGCAAGAAGAUGGUGUGAAUGCUUUUGUCUCUUCCACUCCUGCUUUAAAGAAUAAAAGCAGUGAUUUCCAGGCAAAGUCGUUGCUGUCAGGUGUGCAGUAUGCUCUAACCCCAGUCUUUAAAAACCCAAAUAUCUGGAAUAAAAGCGCAUCUCCAGAGCCUUUUAAACUUCGAAACAGUUCUAAUCUUGCUGUUCCUUCUAGUUUUCAUGCUGCAAAUUGUCAAAAAUCAACCAGAGACUCAAGGACACAAAAGAAUGGCGAGGAUUUCUCUAUGAUCAACAAUGAAUGCUUGCCUGAAGUUACUCUGUUCGAUAUUACCUCAGAUUCAAUGAUGGACCUGACAACGAAUGAUUCAGUCUUCCCUGAAAGACAACAUGCAACUCCUCAGCUUUAUGUUAAAAAGA
Molecule: long non-coding RNA, 912 nt
Organism: Poecilia latipinna (sailfin molly)
Lineage: Eukaryota; Metazoa; Chordata; Actinopteri; Cyprinodontiformes; Poeciliidae
Exons: 2
Source: RefSeq, a predicted model, not a curated record